This 419-nucleotide long non-coding RNA is filed under the name Gallus gallus (chicken). Lineage: Eukaryota; Metazoa; Chordata; Aves; Galliformes; Phasianidae. The record is from RNAcentral.
CAGCUUCUCAAUAAAUCUGUUCAGCUGAGCAUCAUUGAGGAACUUGCAAGCAAAUGCCACUCUGUCUCGUACUGCCACAUUAUUUUCAUACAAAACACCGUCAUAUGAACCAGACUCACUUGUCAGAAAAGCAAACAUAGCACACAGGUAGGGAUUGUUCAGUUGCAGUCUUAAAGUACUGCACAUUUCUCUCCAAAGUGAGUUCUUCUCAUCUGUAUAGCCUGACAGAGCCAUUGCUACGACAUUAAGGUUCAGAUCACCUUUUCCUGAGGAAGCACCUUUAUUUAGAAUUUGUAUUGCCCGCCGUAUGUCCAAAUUGAAUAGUGCUACAGCAGCAGCUCGCUCCCAGUCUCCUUCUUGUUCCAAUGAAUUUAAAAAAGGUUCCACAUCUAAGUCUAUUCCCUUCUUUAUCCACCCAC